GCGGUAGUGGCGGAAUUGGUAGACGCGCAGGGUUCAGGUUCCUGUGGCCGAAAGGCUGUGGGGGUUCGAUUCCCCCCUUCCGCA
This 84-nucleotide transfer RNA is filed under the name Alphaproteobacteria bacterium. Its description in RNAcentral is "tRNA-Leu". It matches the Rfam family "tRNA". From Rfam's summary of the family: Transfer RNA (tRNA) molecules are approximately 80 nucleotides in length. Their secondary structure includes four short double-helical elements and three loops (D, anti-codon, and T loops). Further hydrogen bonds mediate the characteristic L-shaped molecular structure. tRNAs have two regions of fundamental functional importance: the anti-codon, which is responsible for specific mRNA codon recognition, and the 3' end, to which the tRNAs corresponding amino acid is attached (by aminoacyl-tRNA synthetases). tRNAs cope with the degeneracy of the genetic code in two manners: having more than one tRNA (with a specific anti-codon) for a particular amino acid; and 'wobble' base-pairing, i.e. permitting non-standard base-pairing at the 3rd anti-codon position. Lineage: Bacteria; Pseudomonadati; Pseudomonadota; Alphaproteobacteria. The record is from RNAcentral. RNAcentral also lists the same sequence under 1 other name.